This 253-nucleotide ribosomal RNA is filed under the name uncultured bacterium. RNAcentral's name for it is "partial 16S ribosomal RNA". It matches the Rfam family "Bacterial small subunit ribosomal RNA", at positions 524 to 776 of the family's 1533-position model. The record is from RNAcentral.
UACGUAGGGUGCAAGCGUUGUCCGGAAUUAUUGGGCGUAAAGAGCUCGUAGGCGGCCUGUCGCGUCGGCUGUGAAAACCCGAGGCUCAACCUCGGGCCUGCAGUCGAUACGGGCAGGCUAGAGUUCGGUAGGGGAGACUGGAAUUCCUGGUGUAGCGGUGAAAUGCGCAGAUAUCAGGAGGAACACCGGUGGCGAAGGCGGGUCUCUGGGCCGAUACUGACGCUGAGGAGCGAAAGCGUGGGGAGCGAACAGG